Molecule: ribosomal RNA, 426 nt
Filed under: uncultured bacterium
Lineage: Bacteria
Description: partial 16S ribosomal RNA
Rfam family: Bacterial small subunit ribosomal RNA
Source: RNAcentral
GUGAGGAAUUUUCCGCAAUGGGCGAAAGCCUGACGGAGCAAUGCCGCGUGAAGGAUGAAGGCCUAUGGGUUGUAAACUUCUUUUCUCAGAAAAGAAUUAUGACGGUAUCUGAGGAAUAAGCAUCGGCUAACUCUGUGCCAGCAGCCGCGGUAAGACAGAGGAUGCAAGCGUUAUCCGGAAUGAUUGGUCGUAAAGCGUCUGUAGGUUGUUUAAAAAGUAUUCUGUCAAAGAUUAGGGCUUAACCCUAGAUAGGCAGAAUAAACUUUUAAGCUAGAGUUUGGUAGAGGCAGAGGGAAUUACCGGUGGAGCGGUGAAAAGCGUAGAUAUCGGGAGGAACACCAAAGGCGAAGGCACUCUGCUGGGCCAAUACUAACACUGAGAGACGAAAGCGAGGGGAGCAAAUGGGAUUAGAAACCCCAGUAGUCC